GCGCGUAAAUUGCCCGAAUCCUGACACAGGGAGGUAGUGACAAGAAAUAACAAUACAGGGCUACUUCUAGUCUUGUAAUUGGAAUGAGUACAACUUACAUCUCUUCACGAGGAUCAAUUGGAGGGCAAGUCUGGUGCCAGCAGCCGCGGUAAUUCCAGCUCCAAUAGCGUAUAUUAAAGUUGUUGCAGUUAAAGAGCUCGUAGUCGGAUUUCGGGUCGGGCCGAGCGGUCUGCCGAUGGGUAUGCACUGUUCGGCGCGGCCUUCUUUCCGGAGACCGCGGCUACUCUUAACUGAGCGGGCGUGGGAGACGGAUCGUUUACUUUGAAAAAAUCAGAGUGUUUCAAGCAGGCAGCUCGCUCUUGCAUGGAUUAGCAUGGGAUAAUGAAAUAGGACUCUGGUGCUAUUUUGUUGGUUUCGAACACCGGAGUAAUGAUUAACAGGGACAGUCAGGGGCACUCGUAUUCC
Molecule: ribosomal RNA, 465 nt
Filed under: Haptophyta environmental samples
Lineage: Eukaryota; Haptophyta
Description: SSU rRNA
Rfam family: Eukaryotic small subunit ribosomal RNA
Source: RNAcentral